UGCUAUAGAUUGAGAAUAGUGAAGGAGAGA
Molecule: non-coding RNA, 30 nt
Filed under: Rattus norvegicus (Norway rat)
Lineage: Eukaryota; Metazoa; Chordata; Mammalia; Rodentia; Muridae
Source: RNAcentral